ACUCCUACGGGAGGCAGCAGUGGGGAAUAUUGGACAAUGGGGGCAACCCUGAUCCAGCAAUGCCGCGUGUGUGAAGAAGGCCUUCGGGUUGUAAAGCACUUUUAGCGGGGAGGAAAAGAAGUGUGUUAAAUACCA
This 135-nucleotide ribosomal RNA is filed under the name uncultured bacterium. RNAcentral's name for it is "partial 16S ribosomal RNA". It matches the Rfam family "Bacterial small subunit ribosomal RNA", at positions 335 to 468 of the family's 1533-position model. The record is from RNAcentral.